Molecule: ribosomal RNA, 564 nt
Filed under: uncultured bacterium
Lineage: Bacteria
Description: bacterial SSU rRNA
Rfam family: Bacterial small subunit ribosomal RNA
Source: RNAcentral
AGAGUUUGAUUCUGGCUCAGGAUGAACGCUGGCGGCGUGCCUAACACAUGCAAGUCGAACGAAGCAUGCCGGAGGAAGUUUUCGGAUGGAAUCCGGGAUGACUGAGUGGCGGACGGGUGAGUAACGCGUGGGUAACCUGCCCUGUACAGGGGGACAACAGUUAGAAAUGACUGCUAAUACCGCAUAAGCGCACAGGACCGCAUGGUCCGGUGUGAAAAACUCCGGUGGUACAGGAUGGACCCGCGUCUGAUUAGGUAGUUGGCGGGGUAACGGCCCACCAAGCCGACGAUCAGUAGCCGACCUGAGAGGGUGACCGGCCACAUUGGGACUGAGACACGGCCCAAACUCCUACGGGAGGCAGCAGUGGGGAAUAUUGCACAAUGGGGGGAACCCUGAUGCAGCGACGCCGCGUGAGUGAAGAAGUAUUUCGGUAUGUAAAGCUCUAUCAGCAGGGAAGAAAAUGACGGUACCUGACUAAGAAGCCCCGGCUAACUACGUGCCAGCAGCCGCGGUAAUACGUAGGGGGCAAGCGUUAUCCGGAUUUACUGGGUGUAAAGGGAGCGU